AUCCGUAUCUCUAUGGCCUAGACCUCGCAAAACCCUGCGGCGGGGCAGAAAGGGGGCGGCUCCCGGCAUCGCGGGGUAGAACGCAGAUAAAUGUCUUCGGGUCACACAUUCCUGCCCUUUCCUACCCGUGUCCGCCUGGCGGCACUACUAGCAGAGAGUUGGAAAUUGCCCUCAUCAAGAUUUUUAAGAAAUGUAGAGGAACACGGUAGGGCGUCCCAAAACUUUCAUGCAGUAACAUUGCUAAAAUGACCCUAAAUUAAAAAAAAAAAGUUUUGCAUUUGAAGUAUCUUUUCAGCUUGAACCCCAGGCUAGGCCUGGACCUGCCGCUCUUUUCUCACAGACUUAGCCCGCUUGUCCCCCAGUACUGCAGGGAUGAGUGGGCACACCUGUCCUUCCUCUCACCCCCGAGGCCCCAAGUGGCUCAUCUGUUGAUUCAGAGGAAACACAGCGAGCUCUCAAUUUACUUGUGGAAUGACCGCCUGACCUGACUCAGGCCUUGUCAAUCAGAAUGUCCGAGCGUGGCUUCGAGAGUGGCUCGAAUUUUGAAUCCAGAAGGGCUGUCUACCAAAGAUAGAGGAAGGAAGGAGCAGAACUGGCUUUUCCAAGGUUCAGAUGAUGUAACCAGCCAUCUGUCCAUCCAUCCAUCCAUCCAUCCAUCCAUCCAUCCAUCCAUCCAAGAAGAGAGAGAGAAGACAGAGAAAGCAAUAUUAGAUCCACACACAACAGCAAAGAGAAAUGAGCAUGGGCGAAAUAAAUCUUCAAAUGCAACAUCUAAAUAAA
This is a long non-coding RNA of Pteropus alecto (black flying fox), 780 nucleotides long. RefSeq lists it as uncharacterized. The transcript is spliced from 3 exons. Lineage: Eukaryota; Metazoa; Chordata; Mammalia; Chiroptera; Pteropodidae. The record is from RefSeq and is a predicted model, not a curated record.